CUUUUCCAAUUAAUUUGGACACCACAAUUUACUGUAUUUUAACAAAAUGUCACAGCGAGAAAAAUCCAGACAGACACAACACUAUUCACAUAUUAAAAUUCCAGUUCCACAACAGAAUAAAAAAUAAAUAUUCUUCGAACAAAAGAAACUUCAAUACGGUUGAAAAUAGCAGUUUUCGUAGCACUCCGAAGUGCAAAAGAGUUCAACGAGCGCGCGAGCUCUCUCUAAGCAAGCUACUCGUAUACUGAACCCGUCGCGAGGCCGUACACUAUCUCCCCGUACAACUUCAGGUACCUGAUAACGCAUACCUAACAACCAUCUUGAUACUUGGACUUUUUAUUUCUAAAUUUAAUGGUUUUUCAAUUCAGCCGCGCUCAUAUUUGAAUUGAGAUUUUUUCAGCGUGACCAAUCAGCGCGUACGUGGCGCGAGUGCGGUCGCCGCCUCGGAUUGAUACAAUCAUGGGCGAAAAGUAAAUGGUUCUUAAUAAACGAUGCACCGCAAGUGCACUAAGUUAACCUUUUUAUCGGGAGCUUUAAGCUCGGCGUGGGACAAUUUUAUAAUUAAAGCUAGUGCGUUUAUCGUGGACCGAGAGAAGUUUUACCGAGAAACUGUGGUCGAUGAUAUCUAUAUCUUAUCCCACCGACUUAGUACUACAAAAUGUUAAUCAAGAAGAGAAAAAUGGGAUGAAUAUACGCAUUUUAAUUAAAUGCAAUUUGUAGUGCUGUAAUAAAAGUGUACUACAACUACAUUAAUAAUUGGAAAGACUGAAACUAUAACAAUUAAAUAGAAGUUGAUAACGGAAGGGAGCGAGCGUAACGGGAAGGAGCGACGGCGGAGGAGGAAGGAGCGACAAUUAAAAAGAGUGUAAUGCGCGUAUAGUCCCACGGUUUGUUACCGUUAUCGUAAACAUAGCUAAUGAAAACUAGGAAAUAUUUUACUAUGUGUGGUGCAAGCGAUAACGUGAAGCGGUUUUUAUGUUGCAUAAGGAUUUGAAU
This is a long non-coding RNA of Spodoptera frugiperda (fall armyworm), 996 nucleotides long. RefSeq lists it as uncharacterized. The transcript is spliced from 3 exons. Lineage: Eukaryota; Metazoa; Arthropoda; Insecta; Lepidoptera; Noctuidae. The record is from RefSeq and is a predicted model, not a curated record.